CAUUAGCUAGUUGGCGGGGUAACGGCCCACCAAGGCGACGAUGCGUAGGGGUUCUGAGAGGAAGGUCCCCCACACUGGUACUGAGACACGGACCAGACUCCUACGGGAGGCAGCAGUGAGGAAUAUUGGUCAAUGGCCGCAGGGCUGAACCAGCCAAGUCGCGUGAGGGAUGACGGUCCUAUGGAUUGUAAACCUCUUUUGUCAGGGAGCAAAGGACGCCACGUGUGGCGUUUUGCGAGUACCUGAAGAAAAAGCAUCGGCUAACUCCGUGCCAGCAGCCGCGGUAAUACGGAGGAUGCGAGCGUUAUCCGGAUUUAUUGGGUUUAAAGGGUGCGCAGGCGGAAUGUCAAGUCAGCGGUAAAAUUUCGGGGCUCAACCCCGUCGUGCCGUUGAAACUGGCGUUCUUGAGUGAGCGAGAAGUAUGCGGAAUGCGUGGUGUAGCGGUGAAAUGCAUAGAUAUCACGCAGAACUCCGAUUGCGAAGGCAGCAUACCGGCGCUCAACUGACGCUCAUGCACGAAAGCGUGGGUAUCGAACAGGAUUAGAUACCCUGGUAGUCCACGCAGUAAACGAUGAAUACUAACUGUCCGGGCCGAUUGAGGUCUGG
RNAcentral lists this ribosomal RNA (606 nucleotides) under uncultured bacterium. RNAcentral describes it as "bacterial SSU rRNA". It matches the Rfam family "Bacterial small subunit ribosomal RNA", at positions 239 to 842 of the family's 1533-position model. The record is from RNAcentral.